CCGCUCGGAAAGCUAAAGCUCAGAGCACAGUUUGGUAGCCCUGCCCAGUCGGUCCCACAGCUCGCGGUGACACUCCUGUUCUGCCACAAUUUAUCACCUGAAGGAGGAGAGAGAGAAGGUGUGUGACCAUCGGGGAAGAGUGUCCAAGAGCAGGAAGCAGAUCGGACCCCAGUGUGUCUGGAGCAAGCGGGGGCGGGGAGUGGGGCAGAGGAGAUUGAGUGCUUCGUGGAAGCGAGCCCUGUUUUUCCCUUUGGUUUCUGAACUGGGCUUCCCAGGCAGGCCAGAUCCAAAAGGCUCCCUGCGCACCUCCCGCUUUCCUGCCCUGCCAACCACAUCUACUCUUCUUGGAAGGGCCUGGGCCCUGAGAGCAUCUGCUGGGCGGCUUCCUUCUUGAAGGUAUUAACACCCGAGAGUCAGCCUUCCUCUGUCCCCUGACCCUAACAAACUCUGAAGAAGGAAGGAUAUUGAGCACGGCAGUUAAAGACAUAAGUUUUGGACUUGGACAGACUUGGGUUAAAAUAUGAGCCUAAUCUGUAUGUGACGUUUGUGGCCCAAGAUCACUAGCUCUGUGACACUGAGAGAGUUACUCAACCUCUCCUGGCCUUGGUGUCCUCAACUGCGAUGGGGAAGGGUUGUAAGAAUUCAGUAAUAAUGACUCAGGCCAGGAAGGCUGCGCAGAGCCUGGCAUGCAGCUCUGUCCUCUGCUAUUGUCAGUUACUGGAGCUUUCUUUAUCUACCAAGUCGAGGAGAGCAGCUGGUGCUCUGCUGUGCUCCCGGCCCGUGAUUCCCGGAGUUGUUAUUGACAGUUCCGGAAUUUUUAGUUUAAAAAAGUUAAUCUCUACCUUUUUUCGAGACUUCUGACUUGCACAGUUAGAAUGAUCAAGCAGUUUUCCACCAGGGUGUGAACUGCUCAUCAGCUUGUGUCUCACGGCUGGCGUUGCUGGUGGACCCGGGCUGGUACUCAGAAGUGUGACACCCCUCAACAUGUGUGCUGUCCACUUCCACAUCUGCACAGGAAGAUUAUGGAAAAGUUCCUAUAAUUUCCUAGAAAAUAAGCAUCAUAGGGACAGCGAGUCUGGACAGUCUCGACUGGAUUAUGAAUGUGAAUGUUUUCUGAGCCCUUUAACUUUUCUUCAGAUGUUUGGUAUUAGCAAUAUUUUAAAAAUGAUUUUACUCUGAAACUGAUCUGGUCUAAUCCUUUCCAUGCAAAGAAUGCUGUAUUGGCUUUUUAUAAGGCACAGAUCAAUGUAAUAUCUGCUUAGCGCCAUGGAUGGAAUUUGUUCCUUUAUAAAGGAAAUAUCUCAAUAGAGGCAUUUAGUAUCUAUUUUCCAAUUUAUCAAGUGAAGUGGUGAAGCAGAUUUUCUUCAAUGGCAUGUAAUGCUGCUUUUUUGGUUUUAAAGUUUAACAUAUUCUAUAGUUUAAGAGCAAUGGAGGAGGCCAUUUGUGUCAAGAAUUGUCAGCUUCAGAGAGACAGAGGAGGAGGGAGAGAGAGAAAGGGAGAGAGGGAGACAGAGAGAGAGAGAGUGAGAGAGCUAGAGAGCGAGAAAAUUGUGAGAAAUAUUUAUAAGU
This is a long non-coding RNA of Chinchilla lanigera (long-tailed chinchilla), 1569 nucleotides long. RefSeq lists it as uncharacterized. The transcript has 4 exons. The record is from RefSeq and is a predicted model, not a curated record. Lineage: Eukaryota; Metazoa; Chordata; Mammalia; Rodentia; Chinchillidae.